RNAcentral lists this ribosomal RNA (459 nucleotides) under uncultured bacterium. Its description in RNAcentral is "partial 16S ribosomal RNA". It matches the Rfam family "Bacterial small subunit ribosomal RNA", at positions 338 to 795 of the family's 1533-position model. The record is from RNAcentral.
CCUACGGGUGACAGCAGUGAGGAAUAUUGGUCAAUGGGAGAGAUCCUGAACCAGCCAAGCCGCGUGAGGGAAGACGGCCCUAUGGGUUGUAAACCUCUUUUGUCGGAGAACAAAACCCGGGACGUGUCCCGGACUGCGUGUAUCCGAAGAAAAAGCAUCGGCAAACUCCGCGCCAGCAGCCGCGGUAAUACGGGGGAUGCGAGCGUUAUCCGGAUUUAUUGGGUUUAAAGGGUGCGUAGGCGGUCCGUUAAGUCAGCGGCAAAAUUGCGGGGCUCAACCCCGACGAGCCGUUGAAACUGGCAGACUUGAGUGGGAGAGAGGUAUGCGGAAUGCGCGGUGUAGCGGUGAAAUGCAUAGAUAUCGCGCAGAACUCCGGUUGCGAAGGCAGCAUGCCGGCUCCACACUGACGCUGAGGCACGAAAGCGUGGGUAUCGAACAGGAUUAGAUACCCGGGUAGUC